AGCUGAAUCAGCAUCGGGAUGAUGUGUGGUUGAUGCCUUGCAGUGUCUGACCGGCCUACUUGCUACUUACUGUGUUUGGUUUUGGCAUGGAUGAAACGAGCCCCCUUCUCUCUCCCCAUCAGGAUUCGCCUAAUUAUAGCCAGCCCCCGGCCGACCCUGCGAUUCACCAGGGCGCGCUGAGAGGACUGCCACUGCCAGGGUCGGCGGUACGAAUUCCUCCCGGGAGCCCGGGAUGCAGCCAGGGGCGACAGCCGGGGCUGGAGCGGGGUAGGGGGAGCGCUCAGCGGGACUUCAAUAGCGACGAGUUCCUGGACGAUCCGGAGUUCAGGGAGAUCGUUGGAAAGGCAGAACGAGCAAUCGAGGAAGGGGUUUUCCCAGAAAGGAUCUACCAGGGAUCCAGCGGCAGCUAUUUCGUUAAAGAUUUACAGGGGAGGAUCGUCGGGGUGUUCAAGCCCAAGAACGAGGAGCCGUACGGCCAACUGAACCCCAAGUGGACCAAGUGGUUGCAGAAGCUGUGCUGUCCCUGCUGUUUCGGCCGGGAUUGCCUGGUGCUGAACCAGGGCUACCUGUCGGAGGCCGGAGCCGGCCUGGUGGACCAGAAGCUGGAGCUCAACAUUGUUCCCAAGACCAAGGUUGUCUACUUGGCCAGUGAAACCUUCAACUACAGCGCCAUUGACCGGGUCAAAUCCCGCGGAAAGAAACUCGCCCUGGAAAAAGUGCCGAAAGUGGGCCAGCGUUUUCACAGAAUCGGGCUUCCUCCCAAGGUGGGAUCAUUCCAGUUGUUUGUAGAAGGCUACAAAGAUGCAGACUUUUGGCUUCGACGAUUCGAGGCAGAACCACUACCAGAAAACACUAAUCGACAGCUGCAGAUGCAGUUUGAGAGGCUUGUGGUCUUGGAUUACAUCAUCAGAAAUACAGAUCGAGGGAACGACAAUUGGCUUAUAAAAUAUGACUGCCCUACGGACGCCGGAGCAAGCAGGGAUGCAGACUGGGUGAUGGUGAAGGAACCCAUCAUCAAGCUGGCCGCCAUAGACAACGGCCUGGCUUUCCCCCUCAAACACCCAGACUCCUGGAGAGCCUAUCCAUUUUACUGGGCUUGGCUGCCACAGGCCAACGUUUCCUUCUCGCAGGAGAUUAAGGACUUGGUCUUGCCCAAGCUUUCUGACCCAAAGUUUGUCAAAGACCUCGAGGAGGACUUGUAUGAAUUGUUUAAGCGGGACCCUGGGUUCGACAGGGGGCAGUUCCACAGACAGGGGGCAGUGAUGAGAGGACAGGCAGGGUCACAGUCCCUGGAGCAAUCAGGCCUUGCUUAACAGUAUAAUAACUCUGCCAAGCCUGGGAUUCGAACCAGUGACCUUCUGGUUAUAGAUCCUCAACCUCAGCCAGGCGCUGAAGUACAGGAAGACGCCACUGGAGCUGAUCCAGAUGCCCCCGGUGCUGGUGGAGACGGUGCGGAACACUCAGCGGUCCAACAGCGAGUCCUACACGCAGAGC
This is a non-coding RNA of Paramormyrops kingsleyae, 1494 nucleotides long. Lineage: Eukaryota; Metazoa; Chordata; Actinopteri; Osteoglossiformes; Mormyridae. The record is from RefSeq and is a predicted model, not a curated record.